GGAGAAAUGGCUGGUUCUGUUACAGCUGCUUUCCAGAGAUCUUCUCACCCCCGUUCCUCGUAGUUCAGCUUCACUCUCCUGAUGGCAAACCUUGAAAACCCAAGAAGGGUUUUCUGGUUGGGAGAGGAGCUGAUGGCAGGGAGCGAAGGCUCAGCAGCAGGGAUGUUCUGGAGCACUGCAUGGUGGAGGCUGGAAUGGGAGCAGGAUUUCUCCUUGAUAAUCUUGUGUUUCCUGAUUCCGGUAGGAAGGUGAUGCCAGCCCCCAGAAGCUCUGAUUGUAUCCUUUAUGAGAUAGCCUUAAGUCAGUUAAUAUCUUCGCAGUGGUGAUAACUAACGUGCUCUUUGGUGCGUGCGAAAUGAUCUGCAUAUUCAAUCUGAGAUUUGAGCGAGUAAUUAGAAAGUCGAUCCAAAGUGGGAACUCAUGGGUGUCUCUUGAUCAACCUCAGCAGCUCUCCACAAGCUGUCUGCCACGAGGACAGGAAGGGGGCGUCUCACUGGUGGUGGCAGACCCAUGUGCCCAUGCAGUGCCUGGUACUGCCCAUGCAUCGCCCUAAGGUGAACGUGCUUUACUGCACCAAAUGACAUCUGCUUUCCCAAGUCACAUGUAUUCUCUC
This 613-nucleotide long non-coding RNA is filed under the name Gallus gallus (chicken). Its description in RNAcentral is "long non-coding RNA NONGGAT006686". Lineage: Eukaryota; Metazoa; Chordata; Aves; Galliformes; Phasianidae. The record is from RNAcentral.